RNAcentral lists this ribosomal RNA (500 nucleotides) under uncultured bacterium. RNAcentral's name for it is "partial 16S ribosomal RNA". It matches the Rfam family "Bacterial small subunit ribosomal RNA", at positions 30 to 523 of the family's 1533-position model. The record is from RNAcentral.
AUUGAACGCUGGCGGCAUGCUUUACACAUGCAAGUCGAACGGUAACAGGGUGCUUGCACCGCUGACGAGUGGCGAAUGGGUGAGUAAUGCGUCGGAACGUGCCGAGUAGUGGGGGAUAACGCAGCGAAAGUUGUGCUAAUACCGCAUACGUACUGAGGUAGAAAGUGGGGGACCUUCGGGCCUCACGCUAUUCGAGCGGCCGACGUCUGAUUAGCUAGUAGGUGAGGUAAGAGCUCACCUAGGCGACGAUCAGUAGCGGGUCUGAGAGGAUGAUCCGCCACACUGGGACUGAGACACGGCCCAGACUCCUACGGGAGGCAGCAGUGGGGAAUUUUGGACAAUGGGCGCAAGCCUGAUCCAGCCAUGCCGCGUGUCUGAAGAAGGCCUUCGGGUUGUAAAGGACUUUUGUCAGGGAGGAAAUCCUAGUGGCUAAUAACUACUGGGGAUGACAGUACCUGGAGAAUAAGCACCGGCUAACUACGUGCCAGCAGCCGCCGCGG